Molecule: ribosomal RNA, 253 nt
Filed under: uncultured bacterium
Lineage: Bacteria
Description: partial 16S ribosomal RNA
Rfam family: Bacterial small subunit ribosomal RNA
Source: RNAcentral
UACGAGGGGGGCAAAUGUUGUUCGGAAUCACUGGGCGUAAAGGGAGCGUAGGCGGGUUUCUAAGUCAGGUGGUUAAUCCCGGGGCCCAACCCCGGACAGGCACUUGAAACUGGGAAUCUUGAAUAGUGGAGAGGUCAGUGGAAUUGGGGGUGUAGCGGUGGAAUGCGUAGAGAUCCCCAAGAACACCAGUUGCGAAGGCGGCUGACUGGACACAUAUUGACGCUGAGGCUCGAAAGCAUGGGGAGCAAACAGG